UCUCCUCAGCCUACUGACAGCUCAUGUUCAACCACAGACGCAACUGGUUAUCAACCUAUUCUUCCUCUGGAAUUUCACUUUGUGCCAUCAAUCUAAAAGAAAAUAAAUCACCAGAACGGAA
This is a long non-coding RNA of Eleginops maclovinus (Patagonian blennie), 121 nucleotides long. RefSeq lists it as uncharacterized. The record is from RefSeq and is a predicted model, not a curated record. Lineage: Eukaryota; Metazoa; Chordata; Actinopteri; Perciformes; Eleginopidae. The transcript is spliced from 2 exons.